Molecule: long non-coding RNA, 874 nt
Filed under: Homo sapiens (human)
Lineage: Eukaryota; Metazoa; Chordata; Mammalia; Primates; Hominidae
Description: non-protein coding lnc-ATL1-8:2
Source: RNAcentral
GAGUGCGGGAGUUCGUCGCAUGCGCAUGUCGUGGAACCUACUCUCCACGAGUUUUUAUUGUUGUUGCUUUUGUACCCCCUCGGGAUCCCUAGCGGAGGCAGUGACUCUCUUUCCCCCCAAGACGUUGUUCCCUGUUUGAAGGUGUUCUUCCUAAUGUUUCCUAGGCUGCUGAAUUCAGCUCUCUAAAAAAUGCGGAAUGCUAACCAUGACUCCCAGGACUGCUUUGGAUGCUGUGUGGAGAGUAGACAAUGGAGCUAAGGGCAAAAGGGAGAUCAGUCAGAAGUUAUUGCUGGCUUGGACCCAGGCAAUAAUAGGUGGAGAGGUAAGUGGACAUAUUUUAGACAUAUUUUAAAGAAAGCCAACCAAAUUUGCUGACAUUGAAUAUGGAGUGUGGGAGUAUCAAUCACUGCCAUGGGUAUGAAAAUCUUAAUAAACAGAAUUGGAACUCACUAGAAGCAGAGUGUACUCUGAGAGAAACAUUAGAAAAACAGUUACUUGUUCCUGUGGUUCAGAAAUAAGGACGAGUCCUAAAGCGUUGAUAGUGUGCAGGGAGAAGAAAGAGUGAUGAAACUUAAGUGAGAGCACAAUGGGGUUUUGUUACACAUCAGGGUAUGAAGGCGGGAGCUGAAGGAGGAAGGGGGAGCCAAAGAAGUGCCAGGUUUCUGCCUAAGGCUUACCUCAGAGAAGGACAAAAGGAUAUUAGCAUCUUGUUAAUAAAGGCAACUCUUCACACCUGGAGUUUUCCCAGAGCCUGAAGUACGGGGACACCUUUCACAUGUGCGGAGGAAAGAAUCCUAGAAUUUUAUAGUUGAAAAAGAAUUCUGAGAUUGCCUAGGCUCACCUCAUCAACAUCAAAAAGGAACGAGAAAAAUUA